This 253-nucleotide ribosomal RNA is filed under the name uncultured bacterium. RNAcentral's name for it is "partial 16S ribosomal RNA". It matches the Rfam family "Bacterial small subunit ribosomal RNA", at positions 524 to 776 of the family's 1533-position model. The record is from RNAcentral.
UACAGAGGUCUCAAGCGUUGUUCGGAUUCAUUGGGCGUAAAGGGUGCGUAGGUGGCGUGGUAAGUCGGAUGUGAAAUCCCGGGGCUCAACCCCGGAACUGCAUUCGAUACUGCCUUGCUAGAGUACUGGAGAGGAGAUUGGAAUUUACGGUGUAGCAGUGGAAUGGCGUAGAUAUCGUAAGGAAGACCAGUGGCGAAGGCGGACCUCUGGACGUUACUGACACUGAGGCACGAAGGCCAGGGGAGCAAACGGG